GUCCACGCCGUAAACGAUGUCAACUAGCCGUUGGGAGUCUUGAACUCUUAGUGGCGCAGCUAACGCAUUAAGUUGACCGCCUGGGGAGUACGGCCGCAAAGUUAAAACUCAAAUGAAUUGACGGGGCCCGCACAAGCGGUGGAGCAUGUGGUUUAAUUCGAAGCAACGCGAAGAACCUUACCAGGCCUUGACAUCCAAUGAACUUUCCAGAGAUGGAUUGGUGCCUUCGGGAACAUUGAGACAGGUGCUGCAUGGCUGUCGU
This 262-nucleotide ribosomal RNA is filed under the name uncultured bacterium. Its description in RNAcentral is "partial 16S ribosomal RNA". It matches the Rfam family "Bacterial small subunit ribosomal RNA", at positions 793 to 1055 of the family's 1533-position model. The record is from RNAcentral.